RNAcentral lists this non-coding RNA (25 nucleotides) under Cricetulus griseus (Chinese hamster). Lineage: Eukaryota; Metazoa; Chordata; Mammalia; Rodentia; Cricetidae. The record is from RNAcentral.
UGGAAGAUGGAGAGAUUGAUGGGAA